UUACGUUGAGCCACAAGGCUGCAGUAAAUGCUUACCAGGCAACGGGGGUAAGUU
The submitters of this non-coding RNA (54 nucleotides) gave its source as unclassified sequences. The record is from Rfam.